GAUGAACGCUGGCGGCGUGCCUAAUACAUGCAAGUCGAGCGAACAGACGAGGAGCUUGCUCCUCUGACGUUAGCGGCGGACGGGUGAGUAACACGUGGAUAACCUACCUAUAAGACUGGGAUAACUUCGGGAAACCGGAGCUAAUACCGGAUAAUAUAUUGAACCGCAUGGUUCAAUAGUGAAAGACGGUUUUGCUGUCACUUAUAGAUGGAUCCGCGCCGCAUUAGCUAGUUGGUAAGGUAACGGCUUACCAAGGCAACGAUGCGUAGCCGACCUGAGAGGGUGAUCGGCCACACUGGAACUGAGACACGGUCCAGACUCCUACGGGAGGCAGCAGUAGGGAAUCUUCCGCAAUGGGCGAAAGCCUUACGGAGCAACGCCGCGUGAGUGAUGAAGGUCUUCGGAUCGUAAAACUCUGUUAUUAGGGAAGAACAAAUGUGUAAGUAACUAUGCACGUCCUGACGGUACCUAAUCAGAAAGCCACGGCUAACUACGUG
This 497-nucleotide ribosomal RNA is filed under the name uncultured bacterium. RNAcentral describes it as "partial 16S ribosomal RNA". It matches the Rfam family "Bacterial small subunit ribosomal RNA", at positions 28 to 507 of the family's 1533-position model. The record is from RNAcentral.